CACUGUUUCGGCAAGGGGGUCAUCCCGACUUACCAACCCGAUGCAAACUGCGAAUACCGGAGAAUGUUAUCACGGGAGACACACGGCGGGUGCUAACGUCCGUCGUGAAGAGGGAAACAACCCAGACCGCCAGCUAAGGUCCCAAAGUCAUGGUUAAGUGGGAAACGAUGUGGGAAGGCCCAGACAGCCAGGAUGUUGGCUUAGAAGCAGCCAUCAUUUAAAGAAAGCGUAAUAGCUCACUGGUCGAGUCGGCCUGCGCGGAAGAUGUAACGGGGCUAAACCAUGCAC
Molecule: ribosomal RNA, 288 nt
Filed under: Escherichia coli
Lineage: Bacteria; Pseudomonadati; Pseudomonadota; Gammaproteobacteria; Enterobacterales; Enterobacteriaceae
Description: partial 23S ribosomal RNA
Rfam family: Bacterial large subunit ribosomal RNA
Source: RNAcentral